Molecule: small nuclear RNA, 103 nt
Organism: Physella acuta
Lineage: Eukaryota; Metazoa; Mollusca; Gastropoda; Physidae
Source: RefSeq, a predicted model, not a curated record
CAGCCAAUCAGAUUGCCACGACCAAUUUCCAAUUUUACAGAGAAGAACAGAAUCAGCUAGGCGCAAGGAUGACACGCAAAUUCGUGAAGCGUUCCAUAUUUUU